RNAcentral lists this ribosomal RNA (495 nucleotides) under uncultured bacterium. RNAcentral describes it as "partial 16S ribosomal RNA". It matches the Rfam family "Bacterial small subunit ribosomal RNA", at positions 28 to 507 of the family's 1533-position model. The record is from RNAcentral.
GACGAACGCUGGCGGCGUGCCUAAUACAUGCAAGUAGAACGCUGAAGGAGGAGCUUGCUUCUCUGGAUGAGUUGCGAAUGGGUGAGUAACGCGUAGGUAACCUGCCUGGUAGCGGGGGAUAACUAUUGGAAACGAUAGCUAAUACCGCAUAACAGUAGAUAUCGCAUGAUAUCUACUUGAAAGGUGCAAUUGCAUCACUACCAGAUGGACCUGCGUUGUAUUAGCUAGUUGGUGAGGUAACGGCUCACCAAGGCGACGAUACAUAGCCGACCUGAGAGGGUGAUCGGCCACACUGGGACUGAGACACGGCCCAGACUCCUACGGGAGGCAGCAGUAGGGAAUCUUCGGCAAUGGACGGAAGUCUGACCGAGCAACGCCGCGUGAGUGAAGAAGGUUUUCGGAUCGUAAAGCUCUGUUGUAAGAGAAGAACGAGUGUGAGAGUGGAAAGUUCACACUGUGACGGUAUCUUACCAGAAAGGGACGGCUAACUACGUG